AGAGUUUGAUUAUGGCUCAGAACGAACGCUGGCGGCAUGCCUAACACAUGCAAGUCGAACGAAGGCUUCGGCCUUAGUGGCGCUCGGGUGCGUAACGCGAGGGAAUCUGCCAUUAGGUUCGGAAUGACAGCUGGAAACGACUGCUAAUACCGGAUGAUAUCGAGAGAUCAAAGAUUUAUCGCCUGAGGAUGAGCCCGCGUUGGAUUAGGUAGUUGGUGGGGUAAAGGCCCACCAAGCCGACGAUCCAUAGCUGGUCUGAGAGGAUGAUCAGCCACACUGGGACUGAGACACGGCCCAGACUCCUACGGGAGGCAGCAGUGGGGAAUAUUGGACAAUGGGCGAAAGCCUGAUCCAGCAAUGCCGCGUGAGUGAUGAAGGCCCUAGGGUUGUAAAGCUCUUUUACCCGGGAAGAUAAUGACUGUACCGGGAGAAUAAGCCCCGGCUAACUCCGUGCCAGCAGCCGCGGUAAU
Molecule: ribosomal RNA, 470 nt
Filed under: uncultured Alphaproteobacteria bacterium
Lineage: Bacteria; Pseudomonadati; Pseudomonadota; Alphaproteobacteria
Description: bacterial SSU rRNA
Rfam family: Bacterial small subunit ribosomal RNA
Source: RNAcentral